ACUUAUUAAAUAAGAUCUUUCAGAUGAGAGCCACAGCCCUUCUUGUCUCCUAACUGUUCCUCCCAUGUCUGAGCUUAGAAACAUUUUCAAGACUGGAAGGAGUUCACUGUCCCUCACAAAAAGCAAAGUACUGGCCCUGUUACAGCUGUUUUCUCAGCAUCCAGGACCUGUUUAUGAUCUCAGUAUUCCAUGACCUGUGCCUUCUAUACUGAUCUAUGUCUGGCCUUAUCGCAUAGGAAAAGAAUUCAAAACAUAGUGCUUUAAUUCUAAAGAUAUUUCAACAUUAUUCUAAGCAUUCUUUAAGUUUUAAAAAAAUUGCUUUCAGACUUUGUAAUUCAAUAUUCCAAUUUAAAGCACUCAAGUUUCCCAGUAUCAUCCAAUGCAUACUUGCAAGUCAUCUUAUUUUCAGUGAUAAAAGAGCAAAAAGCAAUGUCAAUUUGAAAUGGGGAAAACAAGCUUCAGUGCCAUUUUCUUUCUGCUUCUCCCCACCACCCAUAUCUCUCGCUGCAGGGGUAUUUUAUUGCCCUGUUUUGAUACUUGGACUAAAGGUUGUGCCACUCCUGUGCUGGGGCCUGCUCCUGGGAAGUGACUACGGAAUAUGCCUGCCUUCAGGAGCUCCAGAACAGGGGAGCGGAAUGCUGCGACUUCGGCUAUAAGUGGGGGAUACACCCUCGAAGCGCGCAGCCGGCCACCCCCUCUCGGGCCUCGCUCUCUGGAAGCUUACGCCAGGCAGCCAACGGGCUCGGUACGGGUGCAGGGCACGGCAGGGACUCGCGGGGCGGGCGUCGAUGCCUCUCCAGCUGCCCGGCCAGGGCUGAAGACGCACUCGCAGCUCUUCCCCGAGAAAGUGCUUCCUCACGCGACCUUUAUGGGGUGGUGAGGGGCGGGCGCUGCGCGGAUGCGAGAGUAAGUACGCAACCCCCCCCCAGCCUAGUGUGCAUGUGCUGGUGCCCCAAACUGAGGGAGGGGGCGCAGGCGGUUCGCGCCUGACACCGGAGCGGCCGCCUAGCAGGCUCCCCGCCAUCAGGUGGCAGCUGUCUCGGCCGUGCUGGCGCCUCCUGCGCCCCGCCCCCCCCAGGCCCCUCCAUGGGCGCUGGGAGAGGCAGGAGCCUCGGCCUGAUCGUCCGGAGCGGCAGGGUCAGAAGGAGACAGGCGGACAGGACUCACAGCCCUCAGCCAGCUGCAAGAGGACGUAGGGAGGCGCAGAGAGGGUGGCCGCCAUCUUGGUUCCGUUGUUUCUGUAGUGCUAGCGGUUCCGAAUAUAAAGGACCCGACUGACCUCUGGGGGCAGCCGGAUGUCAGCUCGCUUGGCCGCUUGCAUCGCCAUGGCGCCGAUCGGAGGGGGGGGAUGGUGCCGCCUCGGAGAGAAACCGCGGCCGGGAAGGGGCCUGCCGGGCUGCGCCGCCGCUCGCCGCUGCCGCGGGGGACCCGGAUACUAUCCCAUACGCUAAUAACCCGGGUAAUGCCUUUUUACAAUCUAUGUCCCGAACGCUCCGCUUUUCUAAAAAGCAUAUGAGCGAAUCGUACGUCGCUUGUCUCUCCGUACCGUCGUCAGCGCUGUUGCAGCCUUUGCGAGACUUCGGCGACGCGUGGCCGGCGGGACCCUCUGUAGGUGCUCCCGGGCGCGGGGACUGUGCCCUUCCGCCUCCUGCGCUGCUUUCAGGACCGGUACCCGAAUCUCCGUCGAACCGUGGCUCGCAGGUUCAGCCCUCUCUAGGGUCCCUGUUCGGGCGCCAUUUGUCGCGACGGAGGGAAGACACAGUCACUCAAUAUGAGUGAUCAGCAGACUUCGUUUAUUGUACCUUACAGUCACCUUUUAUGCCUUCUUAUAAUUAGCUCAUACAUAUUACAAAAGUUAAGCUCAUUAUUGGUUAGUUGCCUAAAUACCAAGCCCGCCCCUAGUUUCUCUUCUGUAGUUAUCUGUUCCCACCUGCAACAUUCUUUUCCCACCGAAAUCUUCCUGUUAUUGUGUAACUUUUGCUUUACUUCAGAUAAGCUGAGAGCGAUGUGCAUUUUUGUCCAGCCAGCUGGACUAUGUCUAUGAGACCUUUUUCAGCUAGCCAGUUAUCCACAUUCCUCCUCUUUUUUUUUUUUUUUGUUUGUGCCCAUAGAAAUAAUUAUACCCAUCAUUAAAAGAAACGUGGAAGCUAAAGUUUGGUACCAACUUUCUGAGACUGAAAUCACACCUGCAAAAGGGAUGGGAAUGUAGGUGCACCACUAACAUCACUGCGGGUAACCUUAGGUAACCACCUCAUGGUUCCUUCUCUGGAUGGGAAUUAAAAAUGUGGCACUUUUUUGCAAAGAUUUUAAUUUUUAAGGCAAAAAGUCAGAUGCUCGGUCAUGUUCUAGUUGCACAAGGAACAAACAAGGCAGUCACAGCUACAAGAGAUCCAGUUACAGUUCUGGGUAGCCUGGGUCUCUUUUGAUAAAAGAAAAAGGAACAAACAAGUGGUAAUGCCAGAGAAAAGAGAAUGGAAACAAGCUGAGAGGAUGCAGAAGAAAACACAACGAGCGCAGGAAUGAGAACAUUAUAUGGAGAAAAGUAAUCGGAGUUUGAUAAACACUAACAAGGAACACACAAAUGUACAAAGCCAAGGCAAAUUACAGGCAGAGCUGGAUGUUCUCAUCUCUGACCGGCCUGCAAUACUGUUGCUUUCCUUACUGCAAUAUAAUUAAUAAUUAGCAUGGCAUUCUCCUGGGCAAAGACUUCCAGAGAAUUCAAUACUUGCUGCUGGAAAGACACUGAUGUGUAAAAACAGUUGAAAAGUAUAUAGCUUAUAAAAUAUCCGAGAAAUCAAGCAGCUUAACCCCCAAACCCUGGCCGCGUGCUCAUGGUUAGGUUCCUCACAGGCAUAUUUACCCACCAAAAGGUGAAGCAAUUGCAUCACUGUCAGUGGAGCAUGCAAGAACUCAGUGUGACCCAAAACUGGCUUGUUUUAUGGUACCCAUCUUCUGGUUCCUGCAGCGGAACAUUCUAAGUGUUCAUCCUUUUAAUUUGACAUUAAAUUAAUUUUCAUUUUUAUAACAAUAAAGAACUGGAUAAAAAAGUUCUAUUAUGAAUGAAUGCAAAUCUCCAUCCUCUAAACAUUAACAAUUCUUAGGAGAAAAAGAGAAGAAUGUCCAUGUAUCAUUUGUGUUAACUUUGUGUAAACAUCCCUCAUGGCUUGUACUGUAUAAUAAAAACCGAGACAAAAUUA
Falco peregrinus (peregrine falcon) is the source of this 3197-nucleotide long non-coding RNA. RefSeq lists it as uncharacterized. Lineage: Eukaryota; Metazoa; Chordata; Aves; Falconiformes; Falconidae. The record is from RefSeq and is a predicted model, not a curated record. The transcript has 3 exons.